This is a long non-coding RNA of Daphnia pulicaria, 852 nucleotides long. RefSeq lists it as uncharacterized. The record is from RefSeq and is a predicted model, not a curated record. NCBI's taxonomy places the organism in Eukaryota, Metazoa, Arthropoda, Branchiopoda, Diplostraca, Daphniidae. The transcript is spliced from 3 exons.
CUUGAACCAAUAGAAUCUCCAACACCUAUUUCCAACACUGAAGAAACGCAGAAAGUUGAGGAUUUGUUUGUCAACUCAUCAGACAUAGAUCUCUAAGGCAGAAUUUCUGUUGACAGCCUGUUUAGUGGAUAUUACAGUUUGCAGUGUGAAUCUAUAUUGUCAACAACCACAGAAUGUAAUAUGGCUCUGCACCACGCCCUUGGAGAUGCUUGUGAACACAAUCAUACUUCUUUUAACAACUACUAUCGUCAUGAACAAAUGGAAACUUCUACACCUAUUGUUGUCAACAAAGAAACACAGACUGAUUACAAGCAAUUUCUCUAAUCACUUUCAAUCAAAGAAACUCAAAACAAACUGUUAGCAAGAAAUCACAAGUUAAGUAAAGGAGUUCAACACAAUCUUAUUACUUGGGCUCAAAAAGAUGCAGCGUGUAGUCCUUACUGGAAAGUGAUGCCACUUUUGGCAACUAGUCCUGUUCUGAAGUUGAGGAGCUCGCAAUUGUCAAAAGUGAAUCCGUGGGAUGUGACAGCACAGGAUUUUAACAGUCCAUCACCUAUCAAGUGUACAUCACCACAGCAGUCUUGGCAAAUCAGUUCCACCCCAUUAUCUGCUAAACGAAAACUGAUAGAUUCACUCGCUAUUGAAACGUCGUCUUACGGUAAUGUGAGAAAGAAGAGGAAAUGUGCAAGAUCUCUUUCAUAUGAAGAAAUCUCUUCAAAUAAAGGUGAUACAUCUUCGUGUGGAAAAUCAAUGCCGAAAGAAGAUUCAUCUUGGUAUCAAUAAUUCACGUCAAAUGGCAUAUCAGUACUGCCCUCCCCCUGUCGUUUGUUUACUGUGCGACUGAAUUUAAAC